Molecule: ribosomal RNA, 497 nt
Filed under: uncultured bacterium
Lineage: Bacteria
Description: partial 16S ribosomal RNA
Rfam family: Bacterial small subunit ribosomal RNA
Source: RNAcentral
GAUGAACGCUGGCGGCGUGCCUAAUACAUGCAAGUCGAGCGAACGGACGAGAAGCUUGCUUCUCUGAUGUUAGCGGCGGACGGGUGAGUAACACGUGGAUAACCUACCUAUAAGACUGGGAUAACUUCGGGAAACCGGAGCUAAUACCGGAUGAUAUUUUGAACCGCAUGGUUCAAAAGUGAAAGACGGUCUUGCUGUCACUUAUAGAUGGAUCCGCGCUGCAUUAGCUAGUUGUUAAGGUAACGGCUUACCAAGGCAACGAUGCAUAGCCGACCUGAGAGGGUGAUCGGCCACACUGGAACUGAGACACGGUCCAGACUCCUACGGGAGGCAGCAGUAGGGAAUCUUCCACAAUGGGCGAAAGCCUGACGGAGCAACGCCGCGUGAGUGAUGAAGGUCUUCGGAUCGUAAAACUCUGUUAUUAGGGAAGAACAUAUGUGUAAGUAACUGUGCACAUCUUGACGGUACCUAAUCAGAAAGCCACGGCUAACUACGUG